GCCUUCGUGGGGAAAUGGUAACCCAUCAGACUCCUAAUCUGAGGAUUGCGGUAGGUUUGGCGUCCUUAACACUAACAACUUCCCAUGGCUUCCUCCGCUUUGAUCUAAUGCUGACGAAGACGUUCAGGGUUCGAGUCCCGCCGGAGGUG
Molecule: non-coding RNA, 149 nt
Organism: Lasiosphaeria ovina
Lineage: Eukaryota; Fungi; Ascomycota; Sordariomycetes; Sordariales; Lasiosphaeriaceae
Source: the annotation of a GenBank genome assembly